GACGUAGGGCGCGAGCGUUGUCCGGAUUUAUUGGGCGUAAAGAGCUCGUAGGCGGCUUGUCGCGUCGUCCGUGAAAACCUGUGGCUUAACUACAGGCUUGCGGUCGAUACGGGCAGGCUAGAGUGCGGCAGGGGAGACUGGAAUUCCCGGUGUAGCGGUGGAAUGCGCAGAUAUCAGGAGGAACACCGGUGGCGAAGGCGGGUCUCUGGGCCGUUACUGACGCUGAGGAGCGAAAGCAUGGGGAGCGAACAGG
RNAcentral lists this ribosomal RNA (253 nucleotides) under uncultured bacterium. RNAcentral's name for it is "partial 16S ribosomal RNA". It matches the Rfam family "Bacterial small subunit ribosomal RNA", at positions 524 to 776 of the family's 1533-position model. The record is from RNAcentral.